RNAcentral lists this ribosomal RNA (511 nucleotides) under Klebsiella pneumoniae. RNAcentral describes it as "bacterial LSU rRNA". It matches the Rfam family "Bacterial large subunit ribosomal RNA", at positions 2386 to 2891 of the family's 2925-position model. The record is from RNAcentral. Lineage: Bacteria; Pseudomonadati; Pseudomonadota; Gammaproteobacteria; Enterobacterales; Enterobacteriaceae.
GGCGCGAGCAGGUGCGAAAGCAGGUCAUAGUGAUCCGGUGGUUCUGAAUGGAAGGGCCAUCGCUCAACGGAUAAAAGGUACUCCGGGGAUAACAGGCUGAUACCGCCCAAGAGUUCAUAUCGACGGCGGUGUUUGGCACCUCGAUGUCGGCUCAUCACAUCCUGGGGCUGAAGUAGGUCCCAAGGGUAUGGCUGUUCGCCAUUUAAAGUGGUACGCGAGCUGGGUUUAGACGUCGUGAGACAGUUCGGUCCCUAUCUGCCGUGGGCGCUGGAGAAUUGAGGGGGGGCUGCUCCUAGUACGAGAGGACCGGAGUGGACGCAUCACUGGUGUUCGGGUUGUCAUGCCAAUGGCACUGCCCGGUAGCUAAAUGCGGAAGAGAUAAGUGCUGAAAGCAUCUAAGCACGAAACUUGCCCCGAGAUGAGUUCUCCCUGAGACUUUAAGUCUCCUGAAGGAACGUUGAAGACGACGACGUUGAUAGGCCGGGUGUGUAAGCGCAGCGAUGCGUUGAGC